UUGGGUGCCUAGCGCACUGUGUGUCGAAGUUAACGCGAUAAGUCGACCGCCUGGGGAGUACGGCCGCAAGGUUAAAACUCAAAUGAAUUGACGGGGGCCCGCACAAGCGGUGGAGCAUGUGGUUUAAUUCGAUGCAACGCGAAGAACCUUACCUACUCUUGACAUCCUGCGAACCUGUGAGAGAUCGAUUCGUGCCUUCGGGAGCGCAGAGACAGGUGCUGCAUGGCUGUCGUCAGCUCGUGUUGUGAAAUGUUGGGUUAAGUCCCGUAACGAGCGCAACCCUUGUCCUUAUUUGCCAGCGGGUAAUGCCGGGAACUCUAAGGAGACUGCCGGUGACAAACCGGAGGAAGGUGGGGACGACGUCAAGUCAUCAUGGCCCUUACGAGUAGGGCUACACACGUGCUACAAUGGCCGGUACAAAGGGCAGCGAGCUCGCGAGAGUCAGCUAAUCCCGAAAAGCCGGUCUCAGUCCGGAUCGGAGUCUGCAACUCGACUCCGUGAAGUCGGAAUCGCUAGUAAUCGUGAAUCAGAAUGUCACGGUGAAUACGUUCCCGGGCCUUGUACACACCGCCCGU
Molecule: ribosomal RNA, 575 nt
Filed under: uncultured bacterium
Lineage: Bacteria
Description: bacterial SSU rRNA
Rfam family: Bacterial small subunit ribosomal RNA
Source: RNAcentral